This 222-nucleotide unclassified non-coding RNA is filed under the name uncultured Nitrospiraceae bacterium. RNAcentral describes it as "contains 16S-23S intergenic spacer region". Lineage: Bacteria; Pseudomonadati; Nitrospirota; Nitrospiria; Nitrospirales; Nitrospiraceae. The record is from RNAcentral.
UCCAGCUUAUCGCUGGCGGUCUCCUGCAUGUCCAGCCUGGGUAAGGUUCUUCGCGUUGCGUCGAAUUAAACCACAUGCUCCACCGCUUGUGCGGGCCCCCGUCAAUUCCUUUGAGUUUCAACCUUGCGGCCGUACUUCCCAGGCGGAAUACUUAAUGCGUUAGCUGCGGCACCGGCGGUAACCCGCCGACACUUAGUAUUCAUAGUUUAAGGCGUGGACUAC